This 57-nucleotide transfer RNA is filed under the name Bos taurus (domestic cattle). It matches the Rfam family "tRNA", at positions 8 to 63 of the family's 71-position model. Rfam says of the family: Transfer RNA (tRNA) molecules are approximately 80 nucleotides in length. Their secondary structure includes four short double-helical elements and three loops (D, anti-codon, and T loops). RNAcentral also lists the same sequence under 2 other names. Lineage: Eukaryota; Metazoa; Chordata; Mammalia; Artiodactyla; Bovidae. The record is from Rfam by way of RNAcentral.
UGGCUUAGAUGGGAAAGCAUCUGCCUGCAAUGCAGAAGACCCAGGUUCGAUCCCUGG